RNAcentral lists this ribosomal RNA (406 nucleotides) under uncultured bacterium. RNAcentral's name for it is "partial 16S ribosomal RNA". It matches the Rfam family "Bacterial small subunit ribosomal RNA", at positions 30 to 526 of the family's 1533-position model. The record is from RNAcentral.
AUUGAACGCUGGCGGCUGUCUUAACACAUGCAAGUCGAGCGAGCGGCGGACGGGUGAGUAAUGUCUGGGAAACCGCCUGAUGGAGGGGGAUAACUACUGGAAACGGUAGCUACUACCGCUUCCCAUCAGUUGUGUUCAGAUGGGCUUAGCUAUUAGGUGGGUUAAUGGGUCACCUAGGUGACGAUCCCUAGCUGGUCUGAGAGGUUGACCAGCCACAGUGGAACUGCGAACCGGUCCAGAUUCCGACGAGAGGCAGCAGGGGGGAGUAGUGCACAAUAGGCGGAAGCCGGAUGCAGCAAUGCCGCGUGUGUGAAGAAGGCCUUCGGGUUGUAAAGCACUUUCAGCGAGGAGGCCUUACUCGCAGAAGAUGCACCGACUAACUCCGUGCCAGACGCCGCGGUAAUAC